Molecule: ribosomal RNA, 494 nt
Filed under: uncultured bacterium
Lineage: Bacteria
Description: partial 16S ribosomal RNA
Rfam family: Bacterial small subunit ribosomal RNA
Source: RNAcentral
GACGAACGCUGGCGGCGUGCUUAACACAUGCCAGUCGAACGGAAAGGCCUGCUUUCCCUUGUGGAUUGCGGGCACUCGAGUGGCGAACGGGUGAGUAACACGUGAGUGAUCUGCCCCCAACUUGGGUAUAAGCCUGGGAAACUGGGUCUAAUUCCCGAUAGGACUGCAGGGUGGUGCCUGUGGUGGAAAACGAUUUUCUAGUGGUUGGGGAUGAGCUCGCGGCCUAUCAGCUUGUUGGUGGGGUAAUGGCCUACCAAGGCGGCGACGGGUAGCCGGCCUGAGGGGGUGGACGGCCACAUUGGGACUGAGAGACGGCCCAGACUCCUACGGGAGGCAGCAGUGGGGAAUAUUGCACAAUGGGCGGAAGCCUGAUGCAGCGACGCCGCGUGGGGGAUGACGGCCUUCGGGUUGUAAACUCCUUUCGACCGCGAGGAAGCCACCUGGUUGGAAGGGUGGUGACGGUAGUGGUAGAAGAAGCACCGGCUAACUACGUG